RNAcentral lists this ribosomal RNA (465 nucleotides) under uncultured Paracoccaceae bacterium. Its description in RNAcentral is "bacterial SSU rRNA". It matches the Rfam family "Bacterial small subunit ribosomal RNA", at positions 8 to 503 of the family's 1533-position model. The record is from RNAcentral. Lineage: Bacteria; Pseudomonadati; Pseudomonadota; Alphaproteobacteria; Rhodobacterales; Paracoccaceae.
AGGCUUUGAUCCUGGCUCAGAACGAACGCUGGCGGCAGGCUUAACACAUGCAAGUCGAGCGAGGACUUCGGUCCUAGCGGCGGACGGGUGAGUAACGCGUGGGAACGUGCCCUUUGGUUCGGAAUAGCCCCGGGAAACUGGGAUUAAUGCCGGAUAUUCUCUCCUGUAGUGGAUAUGGGGGAGGAAAGAUUUAUCGCCAAGGGAUCGGCCCGCGUUGGAUUAGGUAGUUGGUGGGGUAAUGGCCUACCAAGCCGACGAUCCAUAGCUGGUUUGAGAGGAUGAUCAGCCACACUGGGGCUGAGACACGGCCCAGACUCCUACGGGAGGCAGCAGUGGGGAAUCUUGGACAAUGGGGGCAACCCUGAUCCAGCCAUGCCGCGUGAGUGAAGAAGGCCCUAGGGUUGUAAAGCUCUUUCAGCGGGGAAGAUAAUGACGGUACCCUGCAGAAGAAGCCCCGGCGUAAAU